GUGAAAAAAUUGAAAGAGAAUACCUGUGAAAUUGGGGUUUUCCAUUGAUUUUGGCUUCUUUAACUUUCGGUAUGGCUGCAUAACCUCGGUUUUGGACUUCUUGUUUACAUAGUUGAAAAGGUCUAUGAUAAUUCUGGAGAAAUUCUUCUUGUAGCAGAUCUUCCAAAAUGCUCUACUUUUGGAAGUCCCAGCGAUAAUUUAGAGAGUUCAAGCAAACAUUAAACUUGUCGACCGUUAAAGAG
Molecule: long non-coding RNA, 242 nt
Organism: Capsicum annuum
Lineage: Eukaryota; Viridiplantae; Streptophyta; Magnoliopsida; Solanales; Solanaceae
Exons: 3
Source: RefSeq, a predicted model, not a curated record